CAUUUGUCAGUUCUUUGACUGUGUGUGUGUGUGUGUGUGUGUGUGUAGACUUUGUUCACUGCAGGAGAGAAGAAUUAUGGGACCGACGAAGACCAGUUCAUCACCAUCCUGGGGAACAGGAGCGCUGAACACCUGAGGAGAGUGUUUGCUGCGUACAUGAAGCUGGCAGGGUAUGAGAUGGAAGAGAGUAUUCAGAGAGAGACUUCUGGAGGACUGAGAGACCUGCUACUGGCCGUGGUAAAGUGUGCUCGUGCGUCCCAGCCUACUUUGCAGAGACUCUGUACUAUUCGAUGUCGGUAAGAAUCUAUUUUCUC
Long non-coding RNA from Oncorhynchus keta (chum salmon), 314 nucleotides. RefSeq lists it as uncharacterized. The transcript has 3 exons. NCBI's taxonomy places the organism in Eukaryota, Metazoa, Chordata, Actinopteri, Salmoniformes, Salmonidae. The record is from RefSeq and is a predicted model, not a curated record.